GACGAACGCUGGCGGCGCGCUUAACACAUGCAAGUCGAACGGAAAGGCCCUGCUUUUGUGGGGUGCUCGAGUGGCGAACGGGUGAGUAACACGUGAGUAACCUGCCCUUGACUUUGGGAUAACUUCAGGAAACUGGGGCUAAUACCGGAUAGGAGCUCCUGCUGCAUGGUGGGGGUUGGAAAGUUUCGGCGGUUGGGGAUGGGCUCGCGGCUUAUCAGCUUGUUGGUGGGGUAGUGGCUUACCAAGGCUUUGACGGGUAGCCGGCCUGAGAGGGUGACCGGCCACAUUGGGACUGAGAUACGGCCCAGACUCCUACGGGAGGCAGCAGUGGGGAAUAUUGCACAAUGGGCGGAAGCCUGAUGCAGCAACGCCGCGUGCGGGAUGACGGCCUUCGGGUUGUAAACCGCUUUCGCCUGUGACGAAGCGUGAGUGACGGUAAUGGGUAAAGAAGCACCGGCUAACUACGUG
This 468-nucleotide ribosomal RNA is filed under the name uncultured bacterium. Its description in RNAcentral is "partial 16S ribosomal RNA". It matches the Rfam family "Bacterial small subunit ribosomal RNA", at positions 28 to 507 of the family's 1533-position model. The record is from RNAcentral.